RNAcentral lists this long non-coding RNA (976 nucleotides) under Gossypium barbadense (sea-island cotton). RNAcentral's name for it is "long non-coding RNA (GBAR_LNC008611)". Lineage: Eukaryota; Viridiplantae; Streptophyta; Magnoliopsida; Malvales; Malvaceae. The record is from RNAcentral.
AAUUCUAGGAUUCUACCUACAGGCGUGCCUAUUCCUCCGUCAGGACCUAGUAGAAGUACAUCAGAUCCACCUCCUCCAUCGUCAAUAUUGACAUCUUCAUCACUUUUGAAAAGUUCAAAUUUCAAGAUUCUACCUAUAGGUGUUCCUAUCCCUCCGUCGGGACCUAGUGGAAGUACAUCAGAUCCGCCACCUCCAUCGUCAAUAUCGAAAUUUUCAUCACUUUUGAAGAGUUCAAAUUUCAAGAUUCUACCUACAGGUGUGCAUAUUCCUCCGUCAGGACCUAAUGAAAGUACAUCAGAUCUGCCACCUCCAUCGUCAAUAACGACAUCUUCAUCACUUGUGAAGAGUUUAAAUUUCAAGAUUCUACCUACAGGUGUGGCUAUUCCUCUGUCGAGACCUAGUGGAAGUACAUCAGAUCCGCCACCUCCACCGUCAAUAGCGACAUCUUCAUCACUUUUGAAGAGUUCAAAUUUUAGGAUUAUACCUACAGGUGUGCCUAUUCCUCCGUCGGGACCUAGUGGAAGUACAUCAGAUCCACCUCCUCCACCGUCAGUAUCGACAUCUUCAUCACUUUUGAAGAGUUCAAAUUUCAGGAUUCUACCUACAGGUGUGCCUAUUCCUCCGCCGGGACCUAGUGGAAGUACAUUAGAUCCACCUCCUCCACCGUCAGUAUCGACAUCUUCAUCACUUUUGAAGAGUUCAAAUUUUAGGAUUCUACCUACAGGUGUGCCUAUUCCUCCGUCAGGACCUAGUGGAAGUACAUCAGAUCCACCUCCUCCACCGUUAAUAUUGACAUCACUUUUAAAGAGUUCAAAUUUCAAGAUUCUACCUACUGGUGUGCCUAUUCCUCCGUCAAGACCUAGUGAAAGUACAUCAUAUCCACCUCCUCCAUUGUUAAUAUCAACAUCUUUACCAAUUUCAAAAAGUUUGAACUUCGGGAUGCUGCCUAAAAGUCCUCCGUCAGGACCUAGUGGAC